RNAcentral lists this long non-coding RNA (5329 nucleotides) under Chinchilla lanigera (long-tailed chinchilla). RNAcentral describes it as "lncRNA (ENSCLAG00000022795.1)". The record is from RNAcentral. Lineage: Eukaryota; Metazoa; Chordata; Mammalia; Rodentia; Chinchillidae.
AGUGUUGUCAGAACAGACCCGGGAGCUCUCUCUCUUUCAUCCUUCCAGUCACAGACUCUGGGAACAUCUUCUCACCAUCUUCCGCUUCCAGACCCGACCACAAGCAAUAAGGGCAGCUCGUUAUUGCUGAGCACCCUUAACCUCUUGGAUUCGUGGGAAUCAUCCCACUGAGGUGGAGGCUGCCGUCAACCGCCUGGUCAGUCUGCGCCUGCGCCGCCUGGUCAGUCUACACCUACCUUUCUCUGGGCUACUCCUUCCGUGGAGAUAGUGUGGCUCUGGUGAGCAUGGGGCAUUUCUCUGGCAAGCUAAGCUGGCCCACAAGAAGCACAAAGGCUCCAAGCAACUCCUGAAGAUGCAAAACCAACAUGGCAGCUGUGAUUUCUUUCAGGAUGGGCAGAAACCUUCUAAAGAUGACUGGGUUUCCUUUGCUCUACUGACCCUGGGAGGAUCAGGAGCACAGCUCUCCUGCUCUUCUGCCCUGGUGCCACCUGGAGGCUCCUCCUCCAACACCUCCUCCGACAGGAGCACCUUUGUUCGCACAGGUGAGUUAAUUAACAGCCGUAUGAUUUCCAGAAGAAGCAAACCCCGGAAACAGCAUAAAUAUCACACAGCAGAGGAGGAACCAAACCCACAGAUGGAGGGGCCCGAUCCCCACUUCCACUCCCCGGCAGCUGUGUCUCCUGCUGGGCCUGCGGAAUCCACCACAGCAGGAAAUGGUUUGGGGUUUUCUGUUAUGAACAUGAUAGAAGUUUAGAAUAUUUUUUAAAAAUACAGAAACAUAAAAGGAGGAAGAAAACACCCAUUUUCUUCUAAGCUAUUAACAUUUUAUAUUUUCCCUUGUUCCUUUUUAAACACAGUUUUACAUAGCUGUUGUUAAACACCGUAUGGGACCUUGUAGUCUUAAACUUUAACAUUAUAAUGUAAUAAACAGCAAUGUAGUAUAAGACAAAGAGGGCUUGGCUUGGAGCCUGAACAGUGAGUAUUAACUUAGCUCUGCUACUUGCUGUAUGACUUAGGCAUAUAAUUUACCAUUUUGGAGACUCAAGUUUGCCCUUUUUUUUUUGUCUUUUUGAGACAAGGUCUUGCUAUGCAGUUCAGGCUGGCCUUGAGCUCACUUUGUAGCCCAAGCUGGCCUUGAACUCGCAACGAUCCUCCUGCCUCAGCCUCCCAAGUGCUGGGAUUACAGGCGUGCACCACUAUGCCUGGUGAGGUUUGUCAUCUGUGUAAUGAGGAUUAGAGACACAUCCAUUCCUUGCCGCCACUUUUCUGUGUGGCCCUCUAGAUUGUAAGAUCUGUGACUUGUCCUCUGCCAGGUCCCUACAGUCUGGCCCUAGUGGAUUAAAGAUGUGAAGAUUGCCACAAAGUCUUCCCUAGCCCUACCCCUCUCCACAAGUAGAGUUUAUUUCUCCACCCUGUGGAAUCUUGAGCUGGCCUUAUGUGGUGUCAGCUUCCAAGGUGGUCCCCAGCGAUCCUUAUUCCUGGUCAUUUUCACCCUUUCACAGUCUCCUCUGCCCACAAACCAGGCUGGUGGCAGGGAGGAUGGCAGAAGGACAACAUACAGUGUCUGCAACCAGCUCAACAAGAGUACUCAGGCUUCUGCCUUGGUCUCUUGGAUCACUUGCUCCUGGGGAAGAAGCUACCAUGUUGCAAAGACAAGGUAAGCAGCCGGUGCAGAAGCCCACGUGUGGAAGAACUCCUGCCAGCGAGCGCAGUUAGCGGACAAGACAGGUGAGCCACUUUGGGAAUGCUGCAGAGAAGUCCCGAUUUUGUCUGCAAUCUCCUGAGACUCCCCAAGCCAGAACUCCCCAGAAAGACUUCUCUGAUUCCUCACCCACAAGAACAGUGAGAGAGAAAUGCUGAUUUGCAUCUUCAGCCAGUAAGUUUGGGGAUUGCUAUGCGGCAGUAUUACUGUACAUCCUAUGACUGGCUUUGGCCAAUAGCAUGAGUCAGAAGCGACAUUCUGGGACUUCUGAGCCCAGGCCUAAAGGGGACUGAGGCUCUUGCUUCCUGAUUCUUGGGACCCAGCCUCCCGGGUAGACCAGGCUGUGUGCAGAAGACGCCAAGAAGGGAACUGAGACCUCCAGGUGGCGUUCCCAGCCACCCUCCCCGCCAAGAGUCAGUGCCGGGGCCAUUUCCGGGGGUGAGCCGGCCAGGAGGUUCAGCGGAGCUGUGCCCCGGAUUCCUCAGCUGUAGCUAUUAGGGUGCUGAGCUCAGUCAGCCCACAGAAAUGCGAAGGCAAACAGGAUGGCUAUUGUUGUAAGCCUCUGAGUGUGGGGGUGACGCGGAGCACAGCAGUGUUUAGCCCUCACACUAGCCCUGCCCCUUAGCAGGCAGUCAGCUCUUGAGAAACACUGAGUGAGCGGGCGGCCCUUGCUCCAUUUCCUCCUCCACAACACGCAGAGCUGGGCCGCCCCGGGCCGCGCAUCCCCGUGACUGCAGCCCUCCGCCCUGCGGAGCCUGCUCACCUGGCCGCCUGCCCCAGGCUCUCACUUCACUCUUGCGGACGACUCCGUGUCUGUGGCAUCUCUGCCCCACCUGUGUCGGUUCCUUCUUCUCCCGUGAUGCCCACACCCUCCAGCGACCUGCUUCCUUGUGACGCUCUCCCAGCAGUUUCCCCACGCAGCCGUGUGACUUGACAGGAAGAGUGGCCGGAGGCCUCUACCUUAUGGGUGGCACCAUUCCCAGUAGGUCCCUGGGACACACAGGCAAGGAGCAAGAGAGAUGCAACUAUGUUUGCCAUUUUACCCCUCCUCAAGGCCAAGACUUACGGUGGGUUACUGGUUAGAAAAAUGACUGGCCUUGCCUGUAAUCCCAGCACGCAGGAGGCUGAGGCAGGAGGAUUGCUGUGAGUUUGAGGCCAGCCUGAGCUACAAUUCAAGGCCAGCCCAAACCACAUAGCGAGAUCCUGUCUCGAAAUAAAUAAAUAAAUAAAUAAACAAACACCUAAACAAGAAAAGGAAAAAAAAAAAAAAAAAAAAUGACUGGCUUCUUUCAUAGUGUCCAGGUCCCUGGCUAAAUUUCCUAACACAAAAAGUAUCUACUUCUGGAAACAGAUGUUGAGUCUCUGGCUUCUUAGGAUCUCUUGUUUGUCACAGAUGCACCAGUUACUUUUAUUAGCAAACCCUACGGGUUUUUUUGGGGGGGGAUCUAUAAUAUCCAUUAAAGAUAAAUAAAUAAAAGGAGACAUCAAGUAGCUAGCCUAAGGUCAAGGCAAACCCAGGUUACUGGUAGAUUAGAAUCACUCCCCUUCUGCUUCCAAUCCCUCCCUUCACCCACUACAGCCUCUUUGCCUCUUACAUAACUGCGCGAUCGUGCUGUGACCCAUCAGAUCAUUACUGAGGAGCAUAAUUAGCCUCCCUGACUGUAAGUCAUACCAAAAUAUCACCCGUGAAGCUCUGACGCUGUGUCCCUUAGUCACCUAGUUUACAGAGGCUGGGAGAAGCCAUGAUGUCAUUCAUCCACCCAAGCAGAAAACACUGACUGAACUGGAUCUGAGUGCCCGGCAGGGUGCUAGAGAUAGGACAGGCGGCAGUGCCCAGCCCCUGCCAGGAGCUUGCAGUCUAGUGGGAAAGCCAGAGUCUUUCCGGAGCUUUUGCGCCUGGUGUGGUGGUGAAUGUCAUAGGUCCCAGGCCUGGUGCAUGGUGUAGUUUUCGUACAUUGGGAACAGAGAAAACACCGGCCUCUGCUUUAUGUUCCAGGCUGACCUAACCGCCUCUUGGAUUCCGGUUGUCCUUUCAAGCUGCGGUGUUUCCAGGGGAGCUCUUGGCCCCUGCCCUCACCCGUCUUGUCGGUAGCACUUCUGCCCACUCACUCGUUCACUCAGGUCAAGGACAGCGAGUUGUCCUUCAUUUCCUCCUUUCCUGGUCACAUCCAAUCCAUGGGUGAGUCCUGACUGGUCAUAUCCAAACUUGAGCAGGGCAUGGUGGUGCACGCCUGUAAUCCCAGCACUCAGGAGGCUGAAACAGGAGGGUCUUUGGAAAUUUGAGACCAGCCUGGGCUACAAAGUGAGCUCAAGGCCAGCCUGAACUGCAUAGUGAGACCCUGUCUCAAAAAGACAAACAAACAAUCUUGAGAUGGCAUCUGUCUGCUUGCCUGUCACUACACCCACCGAAAUCUCUCACCCAGCUCUGUGUGAUUACUCAAUUCCCCUUUAAUUUUCUGUGGUACUGGGUACUGAGCUCGAGGUCUUGCACCUGUGAGGCAGUUACUCUACCAGGAAGCGACAGCCCUAGAUAUUUUUUGAAAAUUGUAUUUUGAGACAAAUUCUAAGAUGCUCAGGCUGGCCUUGAACUUGCGAUCCUCCUGCCUCUUCGGUAGCUGGAACGUCAGUCAUGCACGCCCGGGCCCACACUUGACCCUGCUUCUCAGGCCUAUGCCGCCCAAGUAACUCACUUUCCCUCUCUCAGAGGCAGCCGCUGCUGCUCUUCCUGCUUCUGCCCAGUGUCUCCCUUCUCCCCAAUGACCUCGCCUCCUCUUUUCCUGGCAGUAGGGGUCCAGCCCGCCAGAACCACACCCCCGCCUUCCCAGCACAAGUCUGCGCACCGGGGCUCUUACAUAUGCCCCCUCUUUUCUGUCCUUGCUACUCUUAAGGCCUAGCGUCCUCUGCCACCCCCAUGUCUUUCUAUCUACUGGAUCACUGUCCUGCUGUCUCCCUUCUGAAAAAUCCCCUUUCUUGCUCAAGGCUUCCUCCCACUGCUCCCCUCUCUGCUGUCCUUGACAGCAAAACUUCUCCAAGCGUUCUUGUCCUCUCCCGCCACCCUCUCCAACUACUCCACAUUGGUGUCUGCCUCCACUGCUCCCCAAACCGGCUACAGUCAAACCAGCCUGCACUCGGACAGCCUCUCAGAGGUCACUGCUCAGCCUCUGUCUUGUGUCUCUCUCAAUCGUUUUAAAAACAUCUGUUACAACCCAGGCGUGGUGACUCACACCUAUAAUCCCAGCACUCGGGAGGCUGAGGCAGGAGGAUCGUUGCGAGUUUGAGACCAGCCUGGGCUACAAAGUGAGCUCAAGGCCAGCCUGAACUGCACAGCGAGACCCUGUCUCAAGAAGAUAAAAAGUGAACAAACAUCUAUUGCAAAUUAUGACCGGCCAUUGUUUGGGGUGGAACUCCUGAAUCGGGACACGACAGACCAGUUCAAACCAACAUGGAGUCUCUUCGUGUUAAAUGCCAUAGAAUCAAAGCGAAACUUUAGCGAAGCAGAGGGAUCCCAAAACAGAACAAUUGUCCCUGAAAACUGAAAACCCUGGUCUACCUGAGUCAAUUUAAUAAGGAAGUCACUGUGCUUUAACCCUUCCAGAAGAAAGUAACCUGCCUUUUUUUUGAUGUUUU